This 459-nucleotide ribosomal RNA is filed under the name uncultured bacterium. RNAcentral's name for it is "partial 16S ribosomal RNA". It matches the Rfam family "Bacterial small subunit ribosomal RNA", at positions 338 to 795 of the family's 1533-position model. The record is from RNAcentral.
CCUACGGGAGGCAGCAGUGAGGAAUAUUGGUCAAUGGGCGCGAGCCUGAACCAGCCAAGUCGCGUGAGGGAAGACGGUCCUAUGGAUUGUAAACCUCUUUUGUCGGGGAGCAAAAGACGCCACGCGUGGCGUUCCGAGAGUACCCGAAGAAAAAGCAUCGGCUAACUCCGUGCCAGCAGCCGCGGUAAUACGGAGGAUGCGAGCGUUAUCCGGUUUUAUUGGGUUUAAAGGGUGCGCAGGCGGAAGAGCAAGUCAGCGGUAAAAUUGAGGGGCUCAACCUCUUCGAGCCGUUGAAACUGGUUGUCUUGAGUGAGUGAGAAGUAUGCGGAAUGCGUGGUGUAGCGGUGAAAUGCAUAGAUAUCACGCAGAACUCCGAUUGCGAAGGCAGCAUACCGGCGCUCAACUGACGCUCAUGCACGAAAGUGUGGGUAUCGAACAGGAUUAGAUACCCCAGUAGUC